This 253-nucleotide ribosomal RNA is filed under the name uncultured prokaryote. RNAcentral's name for it is "partial 16S ribosomal RNA". It matches the Rfam family "Bacterial small subunit ribosomal RNA", at positions 524 to 776 of the family's 1533-position model. The record is from RNAcentral.
UACGGAGGAGGCAAGCGUUAUCCGGAAUUAUUGGGCGUAAAGCGUCCGUAGGUGGAUGUUCAAGUCUUCUGUCAAAGCGCGGAGCUUAACUCCGUAAAGGCAGAGGAAACUGAGCGUCUAGAGUGCGAUAGGGGCAAGGGGAAUUCCCAGUGUAGCGGUGAAAUGCGUAGAUAUUGGGAAGAACACCGGUGGCGAAAGCGCCUUGCUGGGUCUGCACUGACACUGAGGGACGAAAGCUAGGGGAGCGAAAGGG